RNAcentral lists this transfer RNA (76 nucleotides) under Rhodococcus phage Weasels2. Its description in RNAcentral is "tRNA-Thr". It matches the Rfam family "tRNA". Rfam says of the family: Transfer RNA (tRNA) molecules are approximately 80 nucleotides in length. Their secondary structure includes four short double-helical elements and three loops (D, anti-codon, and T loops). Further hydrogen bonds mediate the characteristic L-shaped molecular structure. tRNAs have two regions of fundamental functional importance: the anti-codon, which is responsible for specific mRNA codon recognition, and the 3' end, to which the tRNAs corresponding amino acid is attached (by aminoacyl-tRNA synthetases). tRNAs cope with the degeneracy of the genetic code in two manners: having more than one tRNA (with a specific anti-codon) for a particular amino acid; and 'wobble' base-pairing, i.e. permitting non-standard base-pairing at the 3rd anti-codon position. RNAcentral also lists the same sequence under 2 other names. The record is from RNAcentral. Lineage: Duplodnaviria; Heunggongvirae; Uroviricota; Caudoviricetes.
GCCGGGUUAGCUCAGUUGGUAGAGCGUCAUACUUGUAAUGUGAAUGUCAGGAGUUCGAUUCUCCUACCCGGCUCCA